This 274-nucleotide ribosomal RNA is filed under the name uncultured bacterium. RNAcentral describes it as "partial 16S ribosomal RNA". It matches the Rfam family "Bacterial small subunit ribosomal RNA", at positions 523 to 796 of the family's 1533-position model. The record is from RNAcentral.
AUACGGAGGGGGCUAGCGUUGUUCGGAAUUACUGGGCGUAAAGCGUACGUAGGCGGACUGAUCAGUUGGGGGUGGAAUCCCAGGGCUUAACCCUGGAACUGCCUUCAAUACUGUCAGUCUUGAGAUUGGAAGAGGUGAGUGGAAUUCCUAGUGUAGAGGUGAAAUUCAUAGAUAUUAGGAGGAACACCAGUGGCGAAGGCGGCUCACUGGUCCAAUACUGACGCUGAGGUACGAAAGCGUGGGGAGCAAACAGGAUUAGAAACCCUGGUAGUCC